This 394-nucleotide ribosomal RNA is filed under the name uncultured bacterium. Its description in RNAcentral is "bacterial SSU rRNA". It matches the Rfam family "Bacterial small subunit ribosomal RNA", at positions 129 to 518 of the family's 1533-position model. The record is from RNAcentral.
CCCUAUAGUAGAGGAUAGCCCGGCGAAAGUCGGAUUAAUACUCAUGUUUUCCAAUGCAGACAUCUAAAAUGGAACAAAGGUUCACCGCUAUAGGAUGGGGAUGCGUCUGAUUAGAUAGUCGGCGGGGUAACGGCCCACCGAGUCGACGAUCAGUAGGGUUCUGAGAGGAAGGUCCCCCACAUUGGAACUGAGACACGGUCCAAACUCCUACGGGAGGCAGCAGUGAGGAAUAUUGGUCAAUGGGCGAGAGCCUGAACCAGCCAAGUAGCCGUGCAGGAUGACCGGCCCUAGUGGGUUAGUAAACUGUCUUUUAUACGAGGGAUAAAGUGACGUACGUGUACGUUUUGUAGGUACUGUAUGAAUAAGGACCGGCUAAUUCCGUGCCAGCAGCGGC